Long non-coding RNA from Parus major (Great Tit), 1143 nucleotides. RefSeq lists it as uncharacterized. The transcript has 5 exons. The record is from RefSeq and is a predicted model, not a curated record. Lineage: Eukaryota; Metazoa; Chordata; Aves; Passeriformes; Paridae.
GGUGCGUUGCAGAGAAUUCAGGUGCAAGCUACAGGAAUUUUCUCACUGGAAACCCCUUCCAAAGAGGCUGGCAAGCUUGCCAGGCACCAGAUGUUUGUGACUAGUUAUAAAGAGCUGCAGUCAAAACCCUUCAGACGCAAGCUUCUUUUGUGAGCACACUUGUGGUUUGCUGGCUGGCUCUUAAUUAAGCUGAGCCUGGAGGAGAGGAGGCCCAGGGAUCUGCAUCCAUUUCAGCCAUCAGACUGAGGCGGUGAAGGAGGCUCGUGCAUGCUCCAGGAUGUGAUCAGUCACCACCACCCCAGCCAUAGCAAAGGAACUGAAUCAUCAGGCUGUAUAUCCUGGCAGUCUGCAAACUAUCAAGUGCUCCAGUAUCAACAUAGAGAAGGAAAGGAAUCAAGGUGGUAGUGCAGGUGCAUUCCUCCCUCAAAUUUGGUUACAGCAUCAAGCAAAGGCACUGACCUGAGUAUGGGAAUUUAGAGCAAACUUAUGAAGAAGUUUGGAGCUAACUCAGAAGAACUGGAGCAAAAAAAGGUAACCCUGAAGUUGAAUGGGAAAGGGACAAGGAUGCUGGGCUUCAUUUCCUGACUCCAGACUCACCAAUGUCACACUGUAACCUCCCCAAGUAAAGGAGAAGGCAAUGGAGAAAAAUGAUUGUUGGCCACAGUUCAAAAAGAAAGAAAGCAAAAUAAUACUUGCUCACCAUAGGAAUUACUGGGAGAAUAAGAAAGGCUUAUUUCCCCUGAUAUUUGUAAAAAGAAGUGCUGGUAAUAAACCAGUUCCAUUAUAAAGGAGGAGGGUGAAAUGAAUGACCAAAUGAGAUAGUGAGUGUCUUUUAUUAAAAACAAAACCAAAAAAACCCUCAAACAACCUUUUUUCUGCAAAGAAAGAAUAAAGAAAUGAGACAGAGUGAUUAGGAGAGGAUUCAGGCAGGGUAGAAACUAUUAGUGAUAAACAGCUAUGAAGAAAAUAAUUGGAAAAUGUAAGUGCAUACAAAUGUGGAUGAUGGCCCACGUACUGGGGCGACAGCAGAAUUAACCAGUGAAUGUAAUGAACCAUGAAAGGAGAAGCUUGGAGACUACGGAGAACUGAGGAAAUUUUUCUAAGCAGGAGGGGUAGAAAACAAAUAAAGGCAGCCUGGCUUCU